AUUUUUUAGACCUUACAAUUUUUAUUAAGGAUUCUAAAAUAUAAACAAAAACUUUUUUUUUAAGCCGACUGAUGCUAAUGGUUAUAUCGACACUGAAAGUAGCCACCAUCCAACCUGGCUCUGAGGGGUUCCUCGGAGACAGUUUAUGAGAUUGAGGAGAAAUUGUACCGACCAAGAACUUUUCUUAGAACAAGCUUCCCUUUUAAAGAUUACAUUUUUAGAAAAAGUUUACACAGAAAAAUGUAUUAACAAAAAAUAACACAUUCUUUUCAUUGUAACAGAGUUGAUUUGUUGAUUAAUAAGGAGUCUAUUCCCCUGUUACAAAUACAUUUGUGUUUUCUUUUAAUACACAAUAUUAUGCCCAUGCAACAAAAAUCAAGAAGAUUCUCCAUAAACAUUGGCCACUUUUAUUAGAUGAUGAUCUCUUAAAAACUGAACUUCCGCCUGUACCACAAAUUAUUUUUAGGAAAGGUAGAAAUUGUAAAACUUUAUUAGCACUUUUAGAAACUAGGAACAUAGAGAAAAGAAAAGUGUUGUGUUUUUAUCCUGAGGGUCAUGCAAAAGUUGUAAUUAUAAGACAUUUAAAAAAGAAAAUGUUGAAAGUUUUAAUACAAAAAAACAAUUCUCGAUAAAAGAAUCCAUCACUUCACAUGUGGUAUAUCUUUUAACAUGUGAGUGCGGGGUACAGUAUGUCGGUAGGACAAUUAGACCUUUAAAAAGAAGGUUUUUUAGAACAUAAGAAUAAUAUCACAACGCAUAUAUUAACACAUUCAGUCCCAGUGUAUUGUAAUAACUGGAGGAGUUUUAAUCCAGACAGUUUUUCGUGCAUUGGGAUAGAGAAAGUUUCCCUUGAUGACAGAGGGGGUGAUCUGGUUCUCAAAUUAAGACAAAGAGAGGGGUACUGGAUUUAUACCAUUAAAACCAUGCAACCCGAGGGAAUGAAUGUUGAUUUUGAUAUGGUGUGAUUUUUUACAAGGUUUUUAUAAGCAUCUACGGGUGGUAAUUUGAUCAUGUCAAUUUCUAAUUUUAUUUUAUUGAUUUUAAAGGAAC
Molecule: long non-coding RNA, 1050 nt
Filed under: Pelobates cultripes (western spadefoot toad)
Lineage: Eukaryota; Metazoa; Chordata; Amphibia; Anura; Pelobatidae
Source: RNAcentral